AUUUUCUAUAAUUAAUGACUUUUAGUUUGGUUUGAAGACGACACCUCAACAAAUAUUGAAAAAUUAGUUACAAGCAAAUAGCGAGCAACAACCUGGAUACUUGCAUAGCAAACGGAAAAAUGUAUCGUGCUGUCAUUGUUGACAAGUGCGUUUGGGUUCUUUGAAACAAAUUAAUGAAACAUUUAUUAAUUUCAACAAUUUCAUUAUAAAUUUUUUUUUCAAUUAUUUUGCUUGAACUUUCUGUGAAAUAAUUGCUGCCGUUUGUAUUGAUAUUUUCAUUUCAUAUCCGUUUCCUAUCUCUGAUAUAUUCAUUGUGUGAGCAGGUAUACAAAGGAGGAAUUUGUACACAGUUGGAAAAUUUCAAAACUACUUUUUCAAUAGCCUGAAAACAAAUUUUACCCAUAUGAACCAAAUUCCAUUGUUUUUAUUAUUUACAAAAACUAGUCUAAAUUUCUUUUUUUUUCAUCUUUUUUUACUCGUAUUAAUUAUAGGACACGUAACGUAUACUUACUAUUGAAUUGAUGUUUAACAUAAUAUUAAGUAUACGCCACCCACUACUUUUCACAACACAUGUUGUUCACAAUAAUUGUGUAGCAUACCUUUUGGCGUUAAUUUUAAAUCCACAACAUACGUAUGAUUAAUAUGGAAUUAAUGGUUAAUUAAAUAUUAAGUAUGCGUUUAGUAGAAUUUUCUUUUAAAAAUUACAUUAUUCACC
Long non-coding RNA from Calliphora vicina (urban bluebottle blowfly), 715 nucleotides. RefSeq lists it as uncharacterized. The transcript has 3 exons. The record is from RefSeq and is a predicted model, not a curated record. NCBI's taxonomy places the organism in Eukaryota, Metazoa, Arthropoda, Insecta, Diptera, Calliphoridae.